This 253-nucleotide ribosomal RNA is filed under the name uncultured bacterium. RNAcentral's name for it is "partial 16S ribosomal RNA". It matches the Rfam family "Bacterial small subunit ribosomal RNA", at positions 524 to 776 of the family's 1533-position model. The record is from RNAcentral.
UACAGAGGUCCCAAGCGUUGUUCGGAUUCACUGGGCGUAAAGGGUGCUUAGGUGGUCGGGUAAGUCUGAUGUGAAAUCUCCGAGCUUAACUCGGAAACUGCAUCGGAUACUAUUCGGCUCGAGGGUUGGAGGGGGGACUGGAAUACUUGGUGUAGCAGUGAAAUGCGUAGAUAUCAAGUGGAACACCAGUGGCGAAGGCGAGUCCCUGGACAACUCCUGACACUGAGGCACGAAAGCUAGGGGAGCAAACAGG